This 339-nucleotide ribosomal RNA is filed under the name uncultured soil bacterium. Its description in RNAcentral is "bacterial SSU rRNA". It matches the Rfam family "Bacterial small subunit ribosomal RNA", at positions 26 to 378 of the family's 1533-position model. The record is from RNAcentral.
AGAUUGAACGCUGGCGGCAUGCCUAACACAUGCAAGUCGAACGGGAGUAGCAAUACUCUAGUGGCGGACGGGUGAGGAAUACGUAGGAAUUUGCCCUUAAGUGGGGGAUAACCCGAGGAAACCCGGAUUAAUACCGCAUGACCUCGAAAGAGCAAAGUGGGGGAUCGCAAGACCUCACGCUUUUGGAGAAGCCUACGUCGGAUUAGCUAGUUGGUGAGGUAAUGGCUCACCAAGGCGACGAUCCGUAACUGGUCUGAGAGGAUGAUCAGUCACACCGGAACUGAGACACGGUCCGACUCCUACGGGAGCAGCAGUGGGGAAUACUUGGACAAUGGGCGC